Molecule: ribosomal RNA, 447 nt
Filed under: uncultured bacterium
Lineage: Bacteria
Description: bacterial SSU rRNA
Rfam family: Bacterial small subunit ribosomal RNA
Source: RNAcentral
UCCAGACUCCUACGGGAGGCAGCAGUGGGGAAUAUUGCACAAUGGGGGAAACCCUGAUGCAGCGACGCCGCGUGAGUGAAGAAGUAAUUCGUUAUGUAAAGCUCUAUCAGCAGGGAAGAAAAUGACGGUACCUGAGUAAGAAGCCCCGGCUAACUACGUGCCAGCAGCCGCGGUAAUACGUAGGUGGCAAGCGUUGUCCGGAUUUACUGGGUGUAAAGGGCGUGUAGGCGGGAAAGCAAGUCAGAUGUGAAAACCAUGGGCCCAACCUGUGGCCUGCAUUUGAAACUGUUUUUCUUGAGUACUGGAGAGGCAGACGGAAUUCCUAGUGUAGCGGUGAAAUGCGUAGAUAUUAGGAGGAACACCAGUGGCGAAGGCGGUCUGCUGGACAGCAACUGACGCUGAGGCGCGAAAGCGUGGGGAGCAAACAGGAUUAGAUACCCCGGUAGA